UUUUAAAAGACUUUAUUUCGCCUGCAGAAAAGCUGUAUUCAUACUUUUCUGCCAGUUGUUCGGUAGAUUCAAUAGAUUCGGUAGGUUAACCGCAGCUUAAUUGACGAAUGCUGGGUGGCCGCCAUUCGUAUCCCGAACACGAGGUCGCGGCCAUUUUAAACAUACGAAUGCACAGCGGUGUUCGCCCCUAUUUUCAUGGAACUAAAAUCGGACACAGUUUUGCGCGAACACCGCUGAAGCUGCCGACCUCCCUUCUUGUUCGGUGGAAGUGCACGAACGGCCCGGUGUUCGGUAGUUUUGUUUGAAUGUGUUAUACCCCAGAUAGGAAUCCCAUGGAGCCCAUUCGUAUGAAACUGACUGUAAAGACUUUGGCUCCAUGGCGAUUAAACUGUAUUCGUGUGGUCUGAGCGCCAUUCACUUAAUAAUGUGCGCUCAGACCUGAGUUAUCUGGGGAUAUGUUAAAUGUAUAGUUUUAAUGUAAUGUGUCUUACCUGGUGUAUUUUAACAGUAAUGCUUGUUUUAGUAUCCCCAUGUGCAUAAUGGAGAUUUGCCUUUGUCUUGGGAAAUAAUUGAAUUACUUCUCAAUUAUCUCCCAGGGCAGAGGGGAGGAAGCCAGGAUGCAUGGUGGGAAUAUACUGUGACUGUGUGUCCUAUUUGUCUGCUUGUCUGUCCCUUGUCACAGUCUCCCAUUUGGUCCCCUAGGGAG
Non-coding RNA from Pelobates cultripes (western spadefoot toad), 706 nucleotides. Lineage: Eukaryota; Metazoa; Chordata; Amphibia; Anura; Pelobatidae. The record is from the annotation of a GenBank genome assembly.